UGGGAAUAUUGCACAAUGGGGGAAACCCUGAUGCAGCGACGCCGCGUGAGUGAAGAAGUAUUUCGGUAUGUAAAGCUCUGUCAGCAGGGAAGAAAAUGACGGUACCUGACCAAGAAGCCCCGGCUAACUACGUGCC
Molecule: ribosomal RNA, 136 nt
Filed under: uncultured bacterium
Lineage: Bacteria
Description: partial 16S ribosomal RNA
Rfam family: Bacterial small subunit ribosomal RNA
Source: RNAcentral